RNAcentral lists this ribosomal RNA (348 nucleotides) under uncultured bacterium. RNAcentral describes it as "bacterial SSU rRNA". It matches the Rfam family "Bacterial small subunit ribosomal RNA", at positions 8 to 350 of the family's 1533-position model. The record is from RNAcentral.
AGAGUUUGAUCCUGGCUCAGGAUGAACGCUAGCUACAGGCUUAACACAUGCAAGUCGAGGGGCAGCAUGUUGGUUGCUUGCAACCAAUGAUGGCGACCGGCGCACGGGUGAGUAACGCGUAUCCAACCUACCCUUGUCCAUCGGAUAACCCGUCGAAAGGCGGCCUAACACGAUAUGCGGUUCUCAGCAGGCAUCUAACAAGAACGAAAUGUGAAGGAGAAGGAUGGGGAUGCGUCUGAUUAGCUUGUUGGCGGGGUAACGGCCACCAAGGCGACGAUCAGUAGGGGUUCUGAGAGGAAGGUCCCCCACAUUGGAACUGAGACACGGUCCAAACUCCUACGGGAGUCA